AGAGUUUGAUCCUGGCUCAGAACGAACGUUGGCGGCGUGGAUUAGGCAUGCAAGUCGAACGAGAAAGCUUCCUUCGGGAAGUGAGUAAAGUGGCGAACGGGUGAGUAACGCGUGGGAAACCUGCCUUUCAGUGGGGGACAACACUCCUAACGGGGUGCUAAUACCGCAUACGACCUCCGGGGCGCCUGCCCUGGAGAUGAAAGACGGCCUCUGUUUUAAGCUGUCGCUGAAAGAUGGUCCCGCGUCCGAUUAGCUUGUUGGUGAGGUAACGGCUCACCAAGGCGACGAUCGGUAGCCGGCCUGAGAGGGUGUCCGGCCACACUGGGACUGAGAUACGGCCCAGACUCCUACGGGAGGCAGCAGUCGAGAAGCUUCGGCAAUGGGCGAAAGCCUGACCGAGCGACGCCGCGUGUGCGAUGAAGGCCCUAGCGGUCGUAAAGCACUGUCAGGAGGGAAUAAAGACCAACGGUUAAUACCCGUCGGGGUUGAAGGUACCUCCAGAGGAAGCACCGGCUAACUACGUGCCAGCAGCCGCGGUAAUACGUAGGGUGCAAACGUUGUUCGGAUUCACUGGGUAUAAAGGGUUCGUAGGCGGGCUGGUAAGUCAGAGGUGAAAGCCAACGGCUCAACCGUUGAAUUGCCUCUGAUACUGUCAGUCUUGAGUCCGUCAGGGGAUGGUGGAAUUCCUGGUGUAGCGGUGAAAUGCGUAAAUAUCAGGAGGAACACCGGUGGCGAAGGCGGCCAUCUGGGACGGUACUGACGCUGAGGAACGAAAGCAUGGGUAUCAAACGGGAUUAGAUACCCCGGUAGUCCAUGCUGUAAACGAUGGGCACUAGGUGUUGGAGGAGUCUACCCCUUCAGUGCCGUAGCUAACGCAUUAAGUGCCCCACCUGGGGAGUACGAUCGCAAGGUUGAAACUCAAAGGAAUUGACGGGGGCCCGCACAAGCGGUGGAGCAUGUGGUUUAAUUCGAUGCAACGCGAAGAACCUUACCGGGGUUUGACAUGCAGGGGACAAGCGUGGAAACACGCCCUUCUUCGGACUCCUGUGCAGGUGCUGCAUGGCUGUCGUCAGCUCGUGUCGUGAAAUGUUGGGUUAAGUCCCGCAACGAGCGCAACCCUUGCCCUUAGUUGCCAUCAGGUAAAGCUGGGAACUCUAGGGGGACUGCCGGUGACAAACCGGAGGAAGGUGGGGAUGACGUCAAGUCAUCAUGGCCCUUACAUCCCGGGCUACACACGUGCUACAAUGGUCGGUACAAUGGGCAGCAAGACCGCGAGGUGGAGCAAAUCCCAAAAAGCCGGCCUCAGUUCGGAUUGCAGUCUGCAACUCGACUGCAUGAAGUCGGAAUCGCUAGUAAUCGCGCAUCAGAACGGCGCGGUGAAUACGUUCCCGGGCCUUGUACACACCGCCCGUCAAGUCAACCGAGUUGGCUGCACCCCAAGUCGCUGAGCUAACCCGAAAGGGAAGCAGGUGCCCAAGGUGUGGUUAGCGAGGGGGACUAAGUCGUAACAAGGUA
RNAcentral lists this ribosomal RNA (1515 nucleotides) under metagenome. Its description in RNAcentral is "bacterial SSU rRNA". It matches the Rfam family "Bacterial small subunit ribosomal RNA". The record is from RNAcentral.